GAGGAAGGCGGGCGGCGUGCCUAAUACAUGCAAGUCGAGCGAACAGACGAGGAGCUUGCUCCUCUGACGUUAGCGGCGGACGGGUGAGUAACACGUGGAUAACCUACCUAUAAGACUGGGAUAACUUCGGGAAACCGGAGCUAAUACCGGAUAAUAUAUUGAACCGCAUGGUUCAAUAGUGAAAGACGGUUUUGCUGUCACUUAUAGAUGGAUCCGCGCCGCAUUAGCUAGUUGGUAAGGUAACGGCUUACCAAGGCAACGAUGCGUAGCCGACCUGAGAGGGUGAUCGGCCACACUGGAACUGAGACACGGUCCAGACUCCUACGGGAGGCAGCAGUAGGGAAUCUUCCGCAAUGGGCGAAAGCCUGACGGAGCAACGCCGCGUGAGUGAUGAAGGUCUUCGGAUCGUAAAACUCUGUUAUUAGGGAAGAACAAAUGUGUAAGUAACUAUGCACGUCUUGACGGUACCUAAUCAGAAAGCCACGGCUAACUACGUG
RNAcentral lists this ribosomal RNA (497 nucleotides) under uncultured bacterium. RNAcentral's name for it is "partial 16S ribosomal RNA". It matches the Rfam family "Bacterial small subunit ribosomal RNA", at positions 28 to 507 of the family's 1533-position model. The record is from RNAcentral.